RNAcentral lists this ribosomal RNA (304 nucleotides) under uncultured bacterium. RNAcentral describes it as "bacterial SSU rRNA". It matches the Rfam family "Bacterial small subunit ribosomal RNA", at positions 28 to 334 of the family's 1533-position model. The record is from RNAcentral.
GAUGAACGCUAGCGGGAGGCCUAACACAUGCAAGCUGAGCGGUAGAUAUCCUUCGGGAUUUUGAGAGCGGCGUACGGGUGCGUAACACGUGUGCAACCUGCCCUUAUCAAGAGGAUAGCCCGGAGAAAUUCGGAUUAAUACUCUAUAAUAUAUUGACUGGCCUCAGUUGAUAUUGAAAGAUUUAUCGGAUAAGGAUGGGCACGCGCAAGAUUAGGUAGUUGGUAGGGUAACGGCCUACCAAGCCGAUGAUCUUUAGGGGGCCUGAGAGGGUGAUCCCCCACACUGGUACUGAGACACGGACCAG